UGUAACUCGGAAUAGUAAUAGUCGAGCCACUUCGAGUCAGUGACCUGCUUCUGUCUGGCUGCCCGUUUCUGAUGAGCAACCCGCCCCGCGGGCCAUAAACAUCUAUUUGCACAGACCUUGCAACACCCUGUCGCCAGGUUAUCCCUGUGUGUUCCUUUUAAUUAUUUUUUUUUAAUGUUUAUUUAUUUUUGAGAGAGCAAGCAGGGGAGGGGCAGAGAGGGACGGAGGCACAGAAUCUGAAGCAGGCUCCAGGCUCCGAGCUGUCAGCACUGAGCCCGACCCGGGGCUGGAACCCACGAACUGUGAGAUCAUGACCUGAGCCGAAGUGGGACACUUAACCCACCGAGCCACCCAGGCGCCCCCAUCGCCAUGUGUUUCUAACCGGAAAAAGGGAACGUAAACAACGUUGUUGUUGUUCACCAGAUCGCGUACUUUACCCACGCCCGAGCCGCCCGACCAGUUGACCCAAGGAGCCAGGUUCCAAUGCACAUAGUUGUGAGAGAGCCAAACAGAGCUUCACAGUUCGUUGUGAAAAGCAGCGACCGCAUUCUCCCUUCUUCUCCAGAGCCAAGCACUUUCACCUGGCUUCCCAGAUCGUCUCCUUUCCUCUUCUCAGCCUUGCAGCUUUGUCUUCAGAAACAAAAGUGGUGGGAAAAAAACAAACAAACAAACCAGAAAUGAUUUUUGUGGGUUUUUGAGAAGGAACGAAAUUAAAUGUGCCCAGGGGCCCCUUGGUGGCUCCGUGGGUAAAGCGUCAACUUCAGCUCGGGUCAUGAUCUCACUUGGUGGUUUCGAGCCCACCUUGGGCUCUGCGCUGUCAAUGCAAAGCUCGCCUGGGAUCCUCUGUCUCCCCCUCUCUCUCUGCCCUUACCCCCCCCCCCCCGCUCAUGGUCUCUCUCUCAAAAAUAAACUUAAAAAAAUUAAACGUACCCAGUUUGCCAUUUUUAACUGGAAACGUAAUUUUUUUUACACCCUGGAGGCUCCUCCUAGCGGCCGUUUCGCGGGCUCCCCCUAGCGGCACAGCGCGUCUGGCCGAGCCUGUUGCUCCCGUCAAGCUCAGCCUCUUCUUCGCUUACCACCCCAACCUCCAGGCUGUGACUGCACCCUCGCCCGGGCGCGAACUUUCCCGCACUGCUCCCCACACACCAGCUGGCUUGGGGAGACCCUCAGAGCUCCCGGUUCUCAGGGCAUGCCCCUCCUCCCGGGGCGAAUUAUCGGAGGCGGUGGCGGCUCCCUCUGGUGACCCCUCUGCUGGUGGGGCGAUGCCCUGGGGCAGUCCCUCUGGUCUUUUCAGCUCGCUUCCCUGCCCGCCCCGUGAACACGCUCGGGCAAAGGUGACCAGGGCUCCGGCUUUCUUGGCCUGCUGGCUCUGGGGACGAGCCUGUGCCCUCUGGCUGGACGGAGGGAGGGAGGCCCUGACUUCUCGGCGGGGCCCGCCAGGAACCGAGUCCCUGCAGCACAGAGGCAAAAUUUCUGACCUGUCUCUGGAGCUGGGGGUGGGGACAAUGGCACUCUUCUCUCAGUGACACCCACUUUAGGAGUUGAGCUGUACGUGGAAAGAGGGCAGCAGUCUCAGGUCUUCUCUAUUUGCCUCUAGUGUGAUAUCACCAUUUCACAAGCUAAGGUAAGGGUGAUUAGGGCCAAAAUAUUCUGGGUAAUGUGGCACCCCAGGCAGAAUCUCUGCCUCCUGAAUGGAGCGUGGGUAGAAGAAGGGAGCCCCCACCUCUUGGCUGCACUCACUCGGAACUUAGCCCCAGCAACAGGUAGCUGGAGGUGGGAUAAGAACUGAUGCCCCACCCCUUUUGGGAAGACAGCCCUCUGGCUGGCACGAGUGGGGAGAGGGGGUUCUGUGUUCUUGGCUGUGCUGGUCUGGGGUGGAGAUUCAGUCUCACUGAACUGGGAGGGGGAGGAAGGAAUCUUGCUUCAAAUGCCACAAGCUCUUACUGUUUUCUUUUUCCCAAAUUUUAGGAAAUUUUCACAAAUAGAUGUUUUUCAUUUGCUAUCUGCCCUUAGGGCAAUGGUUGUGUUGUUUGUUUUUAGUAUCACCAAUUUUUGUUAGGUGAAUGAAUUUGCAGAGCUUCUCAUGCUGUUAUGGUAGAAGUCAAUCUCUCAGCACCAUCUAUUCUUACACUCUUGUAUUGCCAUUUAAUUUUUCUUAAUUUAUCUCUUCUAGUUAUCCUAGAUGUAUCUUUGUAAGAUACCUCAAAUACUUUUCAGAGUAAAGUAAGUAAAAGUGAAAUUUAUAGCACCUAUUAAUAAAAUCCACUUCUCAUCUGUCAAGGUUCUCUUAUAUUUUUAUAAACAGCAAAUAACAUAAGCAAAGUUUUAAUCACUAACAUUUCCCAGGGCAAAAAUUUGGGGAUAGAAAGUGUAACAGGAAACAACUUGCCAUUCUCUUGCAACCAUUUUUCAAAAACUGUUAAAAACCAGGUCAGUGAAUACCUGUGGUUCUUCUCUGGUGUUUUGAUUACUUGCUAUGGUAGAAUUUCUUUCCUUCUUUGUUUUCAAGUGUUUUUUCUUGUUUUUUAGCUAAGUAAAAGAAUCAUACUUGAAAUCAAUAUUUAAUCAACACACCAAAGACAGUAUAUAUGUGGACAUAAAGCUAUCUUGAGACUUCCACUUCUAGGAAGAUAAAGUACUUCUUCUAUCCCUCCCACUAAGUACAACUGAAAAUCCUGGGUAUCGUACACAAAAUAAGCAUAAGAGGCCCUAAAAAGCAGAAAGAAGAAGGUAGUCUGGUGAGGGACUUCAGGAGCAGAGGACAGAAGAAUAGUGAGUAAUUCCUGUGUUUUGUUUUUACUUACAUAUCCCAGCUUUAGAGCCAGAGAAGCCAUCAACCCAGAAGUGCCAAUGAGUGAAGAAAUAAUGGAUGAAAAUUUGAUGAAACUUCCCAAAUGUGAUGAAAGAUAUGAUGUAAACAUCCAAGAAGCUCAAUGAGCUCCAAGUAAGAUGACCUCAAAAACCCACAAUGAAACACAUUGUAAUUAAUCUAAGAGAAAGAGAGAAUCUUGAAAGUAGCAAGAGAAAAGCAAAUUGUUACGUGGAAGAAUCCUCAAUAAGAUUAUUAGCAGAUUUCUCAUCAGAAACUGGAGGCCAGAAGACCAUAAACCAAUACAUUCAAAGUGCUUUUAAAAAGUGGCAUUAUUGUCCUUCAAAAGUUAGGAAGAAAUUAAGACAUUCCCAGAUAAACAAAAGCUGAAAGAGUUCAUGACCACUAGACACAUCCUGUAAGAAAUGCUCAAGAGAGUCCUACAAGGUGAAAAGACACUGGAAACUAACUUGAAUCUGUAGGGAGAAAUAAAGAUCUGAACACAGGCAAUUAUAAAAGCUAGCAUAUCACUGUAGCAAUGGUUUUAAAGAGCACUUUUUGUUUUCCAAUACAUUUAAAGAAAAACAAAGCAGUUAAUAAUACAGUUUCAUCCUGCUGUGAUCAGAGAAGAUACUCUGUAAGACAGCUAGCUUUUAAAAUCUUACUUAUUAAGACUUACUUACUUAUUACGACUAUUAACAAUUAUAUAGCAACAAAUUAGAUAAUAUAGAUAAAAUGGACAAAUUCCUAGAAACACAAAACCUACCAAGACUAUAUCACAAAGAAAUAGAAAAUAUGAACAGACCUAUAACUGAUAAUGAAUCAGCAAUAAAAAAAUCUCCCAACCACAAACUGUAGACGUGAUGGCUUCACAGGAGAAUUCUACCAAACAUUUAAAGAACAUCAGUACUUCUCAAACCUUUCUAAAAAACUCAAGAGUAGGGAACACUUCCUAACUCAUUCUAUGAGGCCAGCAUUAUCCUGAUACCCAAAGCCAGACAGACACUACAAGAACAAAAAAAUUUAUAGAUCAGCAUGUCUUAUGAACAUUAAUGCAAAAAAUCCUCAACAAAAUACUAGCAAAUAAAAAUCGGCAGCAUAUUAAAAGGAUUGUACACAAUGACCAAAUAGGAUUUAUUCCUGGAAUGUAAGGAUGGUUCAACAUAAUCAAUUGAUCAGAAUGUAAGGAUGGUUCAAACGUAAGAAACUAAUGAACGUAAAACACCACAUCAACAUAAUAAAGGAAAAGACCUCACAUGAACAUCUCAAUUGAUGCAGAAAAGGCAUCUGACAAAAUUCAACACCUUUUCAUGAUUAAAAAACCCAACAGACAAGGCAUAGAAGGAAACCACCUCAACACAAUAAAAAAAAACUAUAGCGGACAUGUUUGAUGGUGAAAUGCUGAAAGCAUUUCCUUUAAGAUCAUGAACAAGUAAGGAUGUCUGUUUUCAUCACUUCUAUUCAACACAAUACUGGAAAUUAUAGCCAGAGCAACUAAGCACAAAAAUGAAAUAGAAGGUAUCCAAAUGGGAAAGAAGUAAAAUGAUCUCUGUAGAUGAUAUGAUCUUAUAUUUUAAAAACUCUAAAGAGUCCACAAAAAACCUGUUUGAACUACUAAAUUAAGUCAGCAAUACAGCAAGAUACAAAGUUACCACACAAAAAUCAACUGCAUUUUUAUACACAGAGAACUUGAAAAGGAAAUUACAAAAGCAAUUCCAUGUACAAUAGCAUCAAAAAGAAUAAAAUACUUAGGAAUUAACCAAGAAGGUGAAAGAAAACUUCAUCUUCUUGUACAAAAAAACUACAGUGACUACAAAACAUUGUUGAAAGGAAUUAAAGAAGACAUAAGUACAUGAAAGCGUAUCUCUUAUUCAUGAAAUGUAAGUCCUAAUAUUAUUAAAAUAUCAAUAUUACCCAAAGCAAUCUAUGGAUUCAAUGCAAUCCCUAUAAAAAUCCCAAUGACUUUUUUUUUUGCAGAAAUAGAAAAAUCCAUCCCAAUAUUCAAAGGAUCCCAAAUAGCCAAAAUAAUCUGGGGGGGGGGGUGGCGGUGGGGAAGGAACAAAAUUGGAGGGUUCAUACUUUGAUUUCAAAAUUUACUACAAAGCUACAGUAAUCAAAACAGUGUGGCAUUGGCAUAAAGAUAGCCAUAUAGACCAAAGAAAAAGAAUAGAGAGCCAAUAAAGAAAUCCUUGCAUACAGUCAAAUGAUUUUUGACAGGGGUGUCAAGACGAUUCAAUGGGUGAAGGACAGUCUUUUUAACACAUGGUGCUCAGAAAAUUGUAUCUCCACUUGCAAAAGAAUGGGCCUUUACCUUAUACCAAACACAAAAAUUAACUCAAAAUAGAUCAAGGACCUAAAUGUAAGACCCAAAAGGAUAACACUCUUAGAAGAAAACAGGACAAAACUUCACAACACUGGAUUUGGCAAUGACUUAUUGGAUAUGAUACUAAAGGCUAAAAGCCAAUAAGGGCAGUACUGAGGUCUUCAGCCCAACAGCUUUUGAAGAACAGCUUUUGAAUUUUGUCAACAAUCAUGUAAGUGAGCUUAAAAGCGGAUCUUUUCUCAGUCAAGUCUUCAGAUGAGACCACCUGACCAACACCUUCAUUGCAGCCUUUUGAGAGACCUCAGACAGAAGCACAUAGUGAAGCCACUCCUGAGUACCUGUCUCAUGGAAAUGGCAUGAAAAUAAGUAUCUGUUGUUUUGGGCAACUGCUUGGGGAAAUUUGUUGUUCAGCAAUAGAAAACCAAUACAACAUCCGUCUUACUCCAUUUCAGCUGCUAUAACAAAAUACCACAGACUGUGUGGCUAAAAAGAACAGCAAUUUAUUCCUCCUAGUUCUUCAGGCUGGAAGGUAGAGGUCAAUGUGCCAGUAUGGUCAGGUGAGCACUCUCUUUUGAGCUGCCAACUUCUCGUUUGUAUCCUCAUAUGGUAGAAGGGGCUAGGCAUCUCUCUGGAGCUCUUUAAUAAGGCACUAAUCCAGAGGGCUCUGCCCCAUGACCUAAUCACUUCCCAAAGGGCCCACCUUCCAGUACCAUCAUAUUGGGCAUUAUAAUUUCAACAUAUGAGUUUGGGGAAGAUAGAAUUAUUCAGACAUAGCAUUCUGUCCCUGAGCCCUCCAAAUUCAGGUCCUUCUCACAUGCAAGAUACAUUUAUUCCAUCCCAUUCCAUUCCAACAAGUUAAAGGUUUCCAAAAUACAGUGAUGGGACAGAUAUAGGACAGACAUUCCCAAAGGGAGAAACAGAAAAGGAUGGAGUGCUGGGUUGCCAGUAAGGACAUAGAAAAAUCUAGCAAGGCAAAUUCAACAAGAUCUUAAAGCUCAAGAAUAAUCCUCUCUGGUUCAAUGGACUGCCUUCUGGACCUACUGGAGUGGCAACAUCACCUGUACGGCUUGGCAGGGUGCUGCUAAUGCCUGGCUCUCUGCUAGGGCACUGCCCACAAUGUAGGUCAUGGCUCGAGGCAGCUUGCCUUCAUAGCCUCUGUUAGAGGCUGUUUAUCCUGUUGAAAUCCAGGUGGUAGUGGCCCUGAUGAUCUCUUAGUUACCUCUGAGGCCAUUUUUCCCCCUUGUCUUGAAGAAGAGUGCAUGUUCACAAAUAGAUCUAUGGUACCGUACUGUAAAAUUCAAGCAGUCUGAUAGCCUUCCUUCAUUCUGUCCUGUCUCCAACCCCUUCAGUUCAAGCUGGCAGUCUUCCUAAUGGGGUGACUAGUGGUUAGUUCUGUGGUUCAUACCCACACUAGUCUCCUUAUCAUACAGUUGAUCCCCCACACUCUUACUCUUCUUUUCUGAACACACGUUCCUAUUGUUUUGUAACAUGGGUAGGCUGAGAAUUUUUUAAAUCUUCACCUUCUGGUUCCUUUUCGCUUAACAAUUCCUUCUUCAUUUCUCUCUCCUUGUUUUUUACUAUAAGCAGUCAGGAGGAAUCAAGCUGCUCUUCAACACUUUACAAAGAAACUUUUUCAGCUAAAUCUCCAAUUUUAUUACUCACAAGUUCUACCUUCCAUGAAACGCUAUAGAACACAAACUCAAUACAGCCAAAUCCUUUACCAUUUUAUAGUAAGGAUUAAAUUUUCUCUAUUGGUCAGUAACAUGUUCGUUUCUGUCUGAGAUCUCAUGAAAAUCACCCUUAAUAUUCAGAUUCCUACCAACGUCCUAUACACUAUUAGUUGUGUGUGUUUAAGAUGGAAACUUGCUCUACAGCUCCCCUUUUUUCUUUCUGAGUCCUUACCAGAAUCAUCUUGAGAAGUCCCUUCAUGGCAAUAUCAGCAUUUUCUAACAUGCACUUCAAAACUCUGCCAGACUCUACCAGUUAUCCAGUUCCAAAGCCACUUCCACAGUUUUAGGUAUUAGUUACAAUAGCACCCCACACUCGGUACUAAGAGAGUAGUGUCUUAGUUUGUCUUAGUCACUUCCUAACACCGUCACAUUGAUGGUUAGGGUUUCAACGUGUGUAGUAUUUGGUGGGGACAUAAGCAGUCCAUAACACCACCUAAACUUCCUUCUCCUCCUCCCACUCUAUAUUCCUCCUUAGGCACUUAUCACAUAUUAGGCACAUCAUAUAUUUUACUUAUCAUUAUUUUUUAUUUCCACCCACUAGAAUAUAAGCUAUGAAAGAGAAGGAUUUUUGUCUCAUUUUUUGUUCACUGCUCUAUCCCCAGCACACAGUUGAAGCUCAAUAUAUAGUUGUUAAAUAAAUGAAUAAAUGAACACUGGAUUUGCAGGCAUGUGAUGUAUGUUAUGGUACCAACUCUCAUUAGCAAGUGGUUAAUUUGUAUUAACAAGUUGUUAACAAGUGGCUUUUGAGAAGUAAUCUCUCUGGAUCUUUAAAGUAAGAGUGUUAAAAAUCCUAAGGUUAGAAAAUUCUAUGAUUUAAAGAUAUGUUACAUAAUCAGAAAAUAACAAUUACUGUUACACAAUUACACAACUGCAAGCAUUUUUUUUUGCCUGAUUAUUAGUCAUAAUGAGAAGAGUACCUAUUUAGUAUAUCCAUACCAUAGGCAGAAAUUUUCAAUCAUACCUGAGAAGUUAAUUUGAGAAGGUAAGUCUGAGACUCAUUGGAUUCUGAACUGUCAGACCCUCGGCUACUAAAAAAAAAAAAACUUUGAUAUAGUAAUUAUUUUAAUUAUUAUAUUUAUAAUUAUAUUUUAUAUUUACAAGUAACUUAUUAAUUAUAUAUUAUAAAUAUUAAAACAAUAAUAUUUUGGUGGCAUUUUAAAAUUUCAACUGUUAUUUUUAUUAAACUGUUAUCUUAUUGGAACGGUAGAAAUGGUUCUAAUUAUAAGAAUGUUUACAGGGGCGCCUGGGUGGCUCAGUUGGUUAAGCGUCUGGCUUCCACUCAGGUCAUGAUCUCAUGGUUCGUGAGUUCAAGCCCUGCGUCGGGCUCUGUGCUGACAGCUCAGAGCCUGAGCCUGCUUUGGAUUCUGUGUCUCCCUCUCUUUCUGCCCCUCCCCCACUCACGCUCUGUCUCUGUCUCUCUCCCUCUCUCCUCUACCUAUAGUUGGGAUUUUCAGUUGAGACUGAUAAUUUUAUAUCCUACAGUUAUUAUUAAGGGCAUAGUAAAACACAAGUUAUAUUACAUCCACUAUCUUGACUUACCUAGACUCUAGAUCCAAUGCAAUUUCUUUCAGAGAAGUAUCUGAAUCCUCAAGGACUUUUUCCAAAUUUAUAUGUUUUUCCAUCUCUUCCAAUUCUUUCAGGCACUGAUAGUACUAGGGGAAAAUGAUAAAUUAAUUAUAAAUUAACUUUAUUUCCUAAUUAAACUAAUUGAAUAUUUAUAGAUACCUGGCACAACAACUAUGAGGACAUCAAGUACCAAAAACCCCAAACACUGUUGGGAUAGUAAAAGAAAAACACUGCUAUAGGCCCUUAGUUAGAUUAUGUUAUCUGAUAAAGUGGAGUCUGAAGCAUUACCAAAUGGACUUUGCUUACCUUGGUUCGGUCUGGGUCACAAUAGUCCAAAAGAGAAUCACAAAAAUGAUACCCCAUCGACUCCAAGUCUUUUAUGUUGAAAUGAGUACCUCGUUUAUUACCUAAAACAUCAAUAAGUUUAACCACCAUUUGUCCUUAACAGGCAGGCUUACGUUCUGUGUUUUCACAGAGUAUAAAUAAAACCUCUGGUCAGAUUCCAUCUCCUGUCCUUUGGAUUUGCUUCUCCAGGGCAAGUCAUUUAACAGCUUAUUGCUUUCCUUCAUUCCCUCUCCACAUCUGGAUCAAAGCUGACUUAACACAUAGUAGGCUAUGUUGUAGGGCUGAAGAAUAUUUAAUAAGAACAUAUGGAAUACUUGGUUAUCAGUUAUAAACAUGCUCAUAAUCACUUAGAGAAAAACUUGGGUAAAUAUUUUAAUGUUUUCAUCAUCAUAGAUACCAUUAUAUCAGUUUCAAGGUGCUUUAAAGACCAGAAAUACAUGUGUGGGUUUCUAGCACUUUCCUUUGAGUCAAUAAAUUUUCUAAAAACAUAACCAUUAUCUUAAUAUGGAAUAUUCUAAGGGUAAACCAAAAGAUUUCUUAAAUGUAACUACAGAGCACAAUUUUAAAAACAUUUUUAAAAAAUAUUUAUUUUUGAGAGAGAGACAGCACAAGAGGGGGAGGGACACAGAUUUUGAAGCAGGCUCCAGGCUCUGAGCUGUCAGCACAGAGCCUGAUGCAGGCAAGGUUUGAACUCACUUGAACUCACGCAGGAUCAUGACCUGAGCCAAAGUCAGAUGCUUAACUGACUGAGCCACCCAGGUGCCUCCCCACACUUUUAUUUUUAAAGGAAACAAGUGCUUCCAUUAAAAUAUAAAUUGACCCCCCAAGGAACCCCCAACAAACCCAGUCUAUUUUGACUUGCAGAUAGCAAAUCCACUAAAGACAUGUCUAUCCUGAUGUUUUAAGUAUGAACAUUGCUUUUUCUUGCAAUCAGGAGUCAUCUGUAAGGACUCUUUCUUAAAAACAUAACAAAAAAAAAUUAGUUCAUGAAAUAACCAAUUAGGUAUGUUAUCUAUAUGUUAAAACUCCCUUUUCUAAACAAAGGGAAAAUGAUGAGAUGGAGAUGCAUAUAGUGGUAGUUUGUUUAUUCAUCCUGUUUAGAGAAUUGAUUGGACACCAGCAUGUUUCUAAGUAGGAAGAAAGUGCUCACUAUCAAACUGUCUACACUAUUAAUCUUAUGUUAAAAACGACUCUUUGGUUUGAAGCUCUGACAGCCAUGAAUGAGAAUACUUGGUCUUACCCAGGGUAGAUCCACAAAAAGUAGCCUCCAUGGUGAAGCUGUUCUUGAUUCCCAUUUUCCACAUUACCACCCUUCCUGUUCCCUCUUUGCUCUUCUGAACAUUAAACUUGCAAGCUGAGAAUGAAAACUAAAAAUAAGCAAAUAAAAAUGAGAAAAAUGUGUUUUUCUGAGUACAAUGUCUUUCUCAGAACUAGGAUUGAAAAGGAGGAAGUAGUGCAAAAGCAGUAAUUCUCUCUAAAGUUUCACGGGCUUUUAUUUCCUAAGGAUGACAUAUUUACAUUUCUGAGAACUACAGAUUUGAAUGCUGGUAAUAAAUUUUACUUUUAAUCUAUAUAAAACAUAUACCUUCAAAACCUAUUAAUUCUUGAUACUGUUAGGAUAAGAUCUUAUACUUUAAAAAACUUAUAGGAAAGGGCUUAAAUAUGUUUAGAAAUAAAGAUUAAUGUAGAUUAAAAAAA
Molecule: long non-coding RNA, 10471 nt
Organism: Acinonyx jubatus (cheetah)
Lineage: Eukaryota; Metazoa; Chordata; Mammalia; Carnivora; Felidae
Exons: 5
Source: RefSeq, a predicted model, not a curated record